GGGUGGGCUUUUAUUUUGAAAUACAGGAUACCGGAUGUUGUACACUUUACAGCUUUAAGUUCUUCCGCUUUCAUUCACCCGCCAGCUACUUCAAAGCAAGCGAACUAACGAGUAAAUGUUUGUUUUGACAUUCGGGGUUUCCCUGAUAAGUAUUGAUAUCUAGCAUUCAUUUAAUUGCCGUCAUCAUUUGACGGCAACAAUGUUUCGUGGUUUUCACAAUCCCGGAGAACUUCACCGGGGCCCUGCUCCCUUAGGCCACCCAUCCCAUUUACAGCCACCCGGUCCCAGCUACGGAGGGCCCUUUGGCCCGCCACCCCACGUUCCACUGCCUGGACACUUUCCUCCUGGAUCUUGUCAUCCUUUCUUACCUCCCGGAUCGGGAAGUGAAUACCUCCACAGGCCAAUGAGGGAACAUUAUAUCAAUACUCCACACUGCAGCAGUUACUCCAUUGACCGCAGCACAGUGAUCAGUCUUGGUAGUCAACAGAUUCUCCCACCAGACACACAGCAUCUUCAGAUGCCACAGUGGCCCGCCAAUCCUUUGGAAUCAUGCCAAAGAGACAAGAGUGAGAACUUGACCGCUGGUGAAGAAUUCCUCAGAUGCCUUGCGGCUAAUAAGCCAGUCCCUGACUUUCUCAAAGGAGUCAACCUGUUGGACGCAGGGAAGGCAGUCAAGGCACCAGGUGUACCAGAAGACCGGGGUUAUGAGAGGCAGAGACUCCGGAGCAAAUCUCGCAGUCCAGCGAAGGAAAGCAGGGGCAGGAGCAAGAGCCGAGCAAAGAGCCAGGUAAGAAGCAAGAGCCGGGCAAGAAGCAAGAGCUGUCCGCGCAGCAGAAGUCGUACCCGAGGGAAAAGCCGACCACGAAGCAGGAGUCGCAGUCGUGGAAAGAGCCAGGUCAGAAGCAAGAGCAAGGCUCGUAGUAGGAGCCGGAGCCGAGGGAAAAGUCGGGCAAGGAGCAAAAGCAGAUCAAGGAGUAGGAGUCGCAGCUAUGGAAAGAGCCGGGGCAGGUUGGACCAUCAUUCAGACCACAGGGACAAAAGGAGCCCCAUUCGGAGGAGUAGCAGCAGGAUCAGUAAUCACUCCUCCGCACACAAUGACCUGCUCGAGGGCCUGAAACGGGUUAUGAACAGCAAGCAACUGGAGGACAGUAUGCCUUCCAUCAAGAAUGCCAUUCUCACAAUACAGGCCAAUAACUUUAGCAGAGAUAUCCAGAGCAACUGUCUUCCAUGUGGACCAGUCUUGGCCAGCAGACAGGAAUUUCUUCAAGCCUCAGAUGGGCCUAAGCCAGUCAGCAGACAGGACGAGACCGACAGCAAUCUUCUCCCCCACGAGAGAGUGGGCUGUGACUUCUCCUGGCUGCAGGGCACCAGGGAGGUCUCACCUGUUCAAAAGCCGGAGGAGGUCGAGGAUGAGGAGAACUUCCUCUAUGGGAAUGAGGAUAACCAGUCAAAACAACGCCCUGCCACCCUGCCUUUUGCACAGUCCACAUCCAUUACCCAGCAGAGCGAUGCAGAGAUCUCCCCAGCAGGCCCACCCUACUAUCAAAGCCAGCCUCUGUUCGGGAACCAUGGUGAAGUCCAGGAGUUCAAGAUGCCUCCUCAACCGGUCCAGUCUAGUGUGAGGCUUGAGCAGAGGGUGCAGCCUGUUCCUGCUCCUGAUGUGAAGCCCACCCCCACUGUGAAGGAAUGUGAGGAGUUCAAGGCCAUGUUGAAGAACAUUGGGCUGAAUCUGGGCACGUCAGAGAUCAGUAAGAUGAUGGUCAAGCUGCAGCAACAGAAGGAGGGGAAGAUGCCAGAGCAGAAGAGGGAGGAGAAAGUGCCAUCACCAGCACCAGUGCUGCCUCUUCCUCUUGUAGUUGGGGCAUCACAGGAGCCCAGACUGGCCUCGCCAACACUCGGGGCAGCACUUGGGACAGCACCAAUACGACAAGCAUUGGAGUCAUUACAGUUCAUUAUUAAAGCAACAAGGGAGAAAAGGGCCAAUAGUGAUCCACAUGAUGGCAACCAUUCCCAGAGGAAUUCAGACAAACAGAAGAGCAAAGAUGACGAGGAGAGUCAGAGGAGAUCGAGACAUGACCAAAUGAAAAGGAAAGAAACUCUUGUGAAGGAACUGGAGGAAUUGCUAAAGCAGGAUGGGUCCACCUUUUUGAUUCCGGUCAUCGGGUUCUACUGUCAGAGGUGUGAGGAGUUCUUCGGAGACCUGACCACUGCUGAGGGCCAUGCUGCAACCCACCGGCGGAAUGAGCCUAGCAUGGCGAGUACCUAGCUACAUUCUCUCGCCCCACACAGUAACCCAACUGUAUACACUGCGUUGACCAAAGAAACAGCGUAGUUACCAUUGCAUUGUUCAACCUAGAUCACCCCUCAGUAUAAACUUUAGGUUUCUUUCCAGUCCACUUGUCUUCAGCAUCAAUAGAAAAGUCAAAUUCCCCAAAAGAUUAGUGGUAUUAUCAUCCCAAACUGUAUCAUUAGAAUUCUUAGCUACUUAUUUCACCUUGUCUAUAGCAGCAGCAUGGAGACAGACGACCUGGAGAGGACAGAAGACACCCUAGCCAUUACAUCGGGCACCCCCUGGCUCCAGAGCGGAGGGACCAGAGAGACCCAAGAGAUCAGAGGUAUCGCAAACUAGACGAGGGCCCAAAGGCUUACAGGAACGACAGGGAGAAGAUCUACGUGAAAGAGGAACGACCUGGAAGCCCCAGGAUAAAGAUGACGGUGGUCCGCGGGCACACCCCACCAGGUCUGCAGAAGGCCAGGGGGAGAGAGGAGGGGAGGGUGGAUAAGGGCUCUUGUGCUGCUUCCUCUGGCCCUGCCAGUGGGAAAUAUGAUAGGGUCAAACUGGAGGAGGUGGAGACCAAAGGAAAGCCCAACAUGGAAGUAUGUGACAAAGAUAAAGGAGAAAGCAGUUCUAGCAGUGAUGACGAGAAAGACAAAUCUCCUAAAGGCAACAAAAAGAAAAAGGAGAAGAAGAAGAAGGAAAAGAAGAAGAAGAAGAAAAAGGAAAAGGGUUAGAAGUAAUAGCUGCUGUACUGCAUGUCCUGGUUUGAUUGUACUGUAUCUCUGGAGGACCUGGCCUUGGGUCAUUGUUUGGCAUCAUUGCAGCUGUUUUCAGAAGUUGGUGGUUUUAACGUUAGAAAGAAGCAGUGUUCCUCUGAUUUGUUCUCUCCUUAUGGGGUAGUCUUUUUUCCCAACAAACUGUGUUCCUCUGUGUUGUAGUGGAUAACAGGACAUUUUCAUUGAAUGCUGUUGGAGGACAGGACGUUCCAGGGUGCAUAUGCAGCAUUUAUGAUGUCCAGAAUCAUUUUGCUGCCAGCUACUGAUCCUAUUGUUCAGACCUUUAGUUACUGUAGAUGUGCAUUAAAUAACCCUCCUUAUAUUGGGCCAUGUUUGUGUAUAUUUCACCCGGUACAACCUUGAUUUAGUGCUUCAAGUACUAUCAAAUGUACUUUUGCCAUUUAAAGGUCAACUGCCAUUUGAAGCGUGUGCCGUCUUUCUUCCUAAUGUUAAACCGUUGAGAUGGAAUUAUUCUGUAAUGAAGAAAUUCUUAUACAUUGUCCUCUUAUUUAGGUCUCAGCAAUUGAUGGCGCAAGGCUAUUUGCAAGCGCACAUGAUCUUGCCAAAGUCAUUGAAUCCUAUCAGGAUAGGAACAGUUGACAUGUUUUUGAAAGGUGAUCACUUUUUUUUUGUCUGCUGUUGCUCACUCUCACUUCCUCUUUCUCACACACUAGGCAUUUCCAUUGAUCCAGGUUUAUUGGACAAAAGCAAUGUCAGGGGAAAAAUAUAUUCUGCCGUGUAAUAGAAACGGCAGAUAUAGGAGACAUUUUAAAGCUCCACAACAUUUUUAUCCGUUCGAUAGGGUUCUAUUUUUCUUUUGUUGAACUUUCUUUACUGCAACUAAUGAGGGAAACUGUUUUCGAAUAAAUGUUGAUUGUAAAAUACUUUUGAAGGUACGCUGGGCAUGUGAUGUCAUCACAUAGCUAUAGUCUCCACUCCCAAAUGCCUACUGCUUGCAAAAUAAGUUUUCUAUUAAGCUAACAUAUGGAAUUGUUUUAAGAUGGUCAUACCAUGGAUCAUUUAGCUAUUUGAAUUUGAAUUUUAUGACCCCUUCAGGUAAUCAAAAAUAUUUAGUGAUUUGAUCAAAUAUUUCAUUUCACCUCUAUUACUAUAGCCCAUAGAAACACAUUGAAUAACACAAUAAAUGUCAUAAGACAGUGAAAAAAAUCACAGGGAAUAAGGUUUUAAAGUGUCUGUCCUAGAUAUACGAAAGCUCAGGAUAUAGUUUAGUUUAGAAAGUAUUCAUACCCCUUGAUUUAUUCCACAUUUUGUUGUGCCUGAAUUAAACAAAACUAAAAAUAAUUCUCACCCAUCUACACACAAUACCCCAUAAUGACAAAGUGAAAACAUGUUUUUAGAAAUGUGCAAAUUUAUUGAAAAUUAAAUAUAGAAAUGUCUCAUUUACAUACACUACCGUUCAAAAGUUUGGGGUCACUUAGAAAUGUCCUUGUUUUUGAAAGAAAAGCAAAAAAAUUGUCCAUUAAAAUAACAUCAAAUUGAUCAGAAAUACAAUGUAGAAAUUGUUCAUGUUGUAAAUGACUAUUGUAGCUGGAAACGGCAGAUUUUAUAUGAAAUAUCUACAUAGGCGUACAGAGGCCUUUAUCAGCAGCCAUCACUCCUGUGUUCAAAUGGCACGACUCCGGGAUGCUGGCCUUCUAGGCAGAGUUCCUCUGUCCAUUGUCUGUUAUUUUGCCCAUCUUAAUCUUUUCUUUUUAUUUGCCAGUGUGAGAUAUGUAUUUUUCCAUGCAUUUCUGCCUAGAAAGCCAGUAUCCCCGAGUCGCCUCUUCACUGUUGACAUUGAGACUGGUGUUUUGCGGGUGCUAUUUAAUGAAGCUGCCAGUUGAGGACUUGUGAGAUGUCUGUUUCUCAAACUAGACACUAAUGUACUUGUCCUCUUGCUCAGUUGUGCACCGGGGCCUCCCACUCCUCUUUCUAUUCUGGUUAGAGCCAGUUUGUGCUGUUCUGUGAAGGGAGUAGUACACAGCGUUGUACGAGAUCUUCAGUUUCUUGGCAAUUUCUCGCAUGGAAUAGCCUUCAUUUCUCAGAACAAGAAUAGACUGACGAAUUUCAGAAGAAAAUACUUUGUUUCUGGCCAUUUUGAGCCUGUAAUCAAACCCACAAGUACUGAUGCUCCAGAUACUCAACUAGUCUAAAGAAGGCCAGUUUUAUUGCUUCUUUAAUCAGAACAACUGUUUUCAGCUGUGCUAACAUAAUUGCAAAAGGGUUUUCUAAUGAUCAAUUAGCCUUUUAAAGUCAUAAACUUGGAUUAGCUAACACAAUGGGCCGUUGGAACACAGGAGUGAUGGUUGCUGAUAAUGGGCCUCUGUACGCCUAUGUAGAUAUUCCAUAAAAAAUCUGCUGUUUCCAGCUACAAUAGUCAUUUACAACAUUAACAAUGUCUACACUGUAUUUCUGAUCAAUUUGAUGUUAUUUUAAUGGACAAAAAAUUAGCUUUUCUUUCAAAAACAAGGACAUUUCUAAGUGACCCUAAACGUUUGAACGGUGGUGCAAGGAUUCACACCGGAGUCAAUACAUGUUAGAUUCACCUUUGGCAGCGAUUACAGAUGUGAGUCUUUUGGGGUAAGUUUCUAAAGCCUUGUUCACAUUAACAGUUUGAAGUGACUUAAAUCAUAUUUAUUUGCAUUUCUGAUUCAAAUCUGUUCUUUUUCCUGUAGUCUGAACAGCCAAAAGGCACAUGGAUUUGGAUAUUUCAAGCCACACAAGGGUAGUUUUAAGUCGGAUACAAAUCUGAUUCCUGGCCAUGUGACUUGUCUGAAUCGUCAAAUCUGAUUUAUUUGUGGUUUUUAGACUGCUAUUCAGCAUAUCUUGUUGCUUGUUUGCUACUCUGUUGACAGUUUGACAAGAACAUGUGGUAGCUAACUAGCUUGAUAAUUGUUUACAAACAAAUUAGUGAAUGUGCUACAGAGCUAAACAGCUAGCUAGCUAAUUGACUACUGUGGCUAACCAAAAAGGACUUGUUUUGAAAGUUGGAUCAUCUUAUCCUUUGAGGCUUUAAAAAUGUUCUUACCCUAUGACUUUGAAGAUUCAAAGCAACUGGGAAACGUCCAUGGCAGGCAUUGUUGUCAUGUUAACUUGCUGCAUAACUUGAGUGACAGGAAGCAAAAGCACCACCACCAAUCAGCCUACACCACUGCACACACGUCGUUACUAUGAUCACUAGCGUAGCCUUGUUUUUAUUAAAAAUAUAUAUUUCUAUUUAACCUUUAUU
Long non-coding RNA from Salmo trutta (river trout), 6283 nucleotides. Ensembl lists it as uncharacterized. NCBI's taxonomy places the organism in Eukaryota, Metazoa, Chordata, Actinopteri, Salmoniformes, Salmonidae. The record is from Ensembl.